Amaranthus tricolor (Joseph's coat) is the source of this 4366-nucleotide RNA transcript. It is a transcript of the gene named LEAF RUST 10 DISEASE-RESISTANCE LOCUS RECEPTOR-LIKE PROTEIN KINASE-like 1.2, with no coding region annotated. The record is from RefSeq and is a predicted model, not a curated record. Lineage: Eukaryota; Viridiplantae; Streptophyta; Magnoliopsida; Caryophyllales; Amaranthaceae. The transcript is spliced from 6 exons.
UGUACAUAAUUUUUAAGAUUUCGUAUAAGAUAUGUUAAGAUGUCAUUAAAGCUUGUUCAUACUACAUAGUUGCUCUGUUCUACAUCUUUUCUUGAUAAUGAAGAUCUGUGUGUUUAUUACACUUUCGCAAGAGUUAUAUUAAUUCUUCUUGAAGUACAUACCUAUUUUUUGAAAUUUAUGAUGAUUGUUUUCAGUUGCUGGAAGAUAUCAUGCUCAGAAUAUAAAUGUGUAUAGGUCUUCUGCAUGAGACUCAUCUAAGUAAAACAACUCGAAUUCCGAACAUUUUUUGUAAACAAAACGAAAACCUGAGAUGGGGUUGUAAAGCCCUUGCACAAAAUAACCAAAUGCCAAUAACUUUUUGAAAGGUCUAGGAUAGUAGUAGGGUCUAACCAUUUAAUGUAUAUAGAUCAGGUCAUUUUUGUUUUAUGUCAGGUUUUUCGAAAAAGUGAUGGAUUGAUCAGAAUUUAGGAUAUUAAUGAGCUUGCUAGAUCCAUCCACCGGGUACCCACAACUAAUAGGUAUCAAGAGGUAGUGAGAUCCAACUCAUCAAUAACAAAUAUAUUUUAUUUUUCUAUUGAUAGUGGGUACUGGGUAGUUUACCCUCCGGGUUAUUUAAGUUUUUUUUCUAAUAAUAAUAGAAGGUGGGUUGUAAAAAAGAAAUAGCGUUAGAAGUUGUUGGAUCUCUAACCGGAAAGGUCAAGGAAAUUGGUAGGAUUUAAUGUAUAGACCAGGUCAUUAUUGAUUUAUGAUAGGUUUUUCAAAAGGGUGAUGGAUUAUAAUUAGGGAAUUUAGGAUAUUAGUAUAAGGUGAGUCAAAAUAGAAGAGAAAAAAAUAACAUUAACAAUUGUUGGAUCUCUAACUUGAACUCAAGGCUCUUUGAAAUAGUCACCUUUGCAAGUAUAUUGAACUAACUCAAACUCUUUUUUUGUCUUAUAUGUUACACAGUUUAAUAUAAAUAGAGUUUUUGACAAUUUAAUAUGGUGCAAACUUAAAAGGGGCAUAGGGCGAAGAUUGAUGUUUAUUCAUCAACUUAUUUAGAUCACAUUAGUUUCGAUCAUUGUGUUCAGUCCCACAUUUUCUUUUUCAGGCGAGUUCAGUUCGGUUCCAUUAAGUUGGGAAGAACCGGCUCUUGAAGCAGGGAAUAUACCAAUUAUUUGAUUGGGUCUUUUUCAAACAACCUUAUGUCUAGACCAAAGUAUUACUGUAGUUAGGACUUAGGAGUCAGGGGUAUCACACAGGUCCCCCAUCAAUCUAAAACAGACCAUCCUAUUGGUUGAUAUUUUUCUAUAGCUGUCAAAAUGGCCUCAGAUACCGUACCUUACACUUCUCUAUAGAAUUGUGCAAUAUGAAGAUAAAACCUUGGGUAAGACUCAGCAUGAAUUGUGGACCAUAUUGUUCUUGAAUUUUCAAUGACCCUAAAUAAAAUACUUCCUCUGGUUCAAAUUAGAGUCUGCACUUCUUGUUUUCACACUAUUUAAUGCAAAAUGCAUUGAUAGGAUUCAAACAAGAUCUUAUCCGACUAUUUAUAAUAUUGAACAAACACAAAGUUUUGGGUUAUAUCCAGCAUAUAAAAUAGUCUACCCCAUUCUAUUUAAAAUGACUUUGUAAAGUCAAGUUUUUGUCUCGGCCACUCCGAUGAUUAAGCCACCGUUGCUUAACAUUAUUAGUCUACCCCAUUGCGCGUUAAGAAUGUGUUUGAAAAGUCUUCUAUUUUGUAUAUGAAUUAUGCACUCCUAGUCUACAUGAACUUUAGCUCGCAAGAUUUUAAUCAUUCAUUAAGAAAUAUGGUAUCCUGCUUGUUUGCUUUGCACUUUCCCUUCAUAACCUUCUUCAUGUUCUUAUCUAUUUCCCUCUCAAACGGCGAGGAUGCGAACUACACAGCAUGUUCUAGAACAUACUCGUGUGGUAAACUCCAAAACAUAGGGUACCCCUUUUGGGGGGACAACAGGCCUAAGUACUGUGGAAUCCCAGAGCUAAUGCUCAAUUGUUAUGCAGGUGAAGGUCCCCCUCAUACUAUUAUGAAUGUUAUUCGGAAUUAUAAUAAAUAUGUUUCAUACUCUGCAUUAACUGUGCUUUGGAUUAAUACACAUUCCUACACCAUGAGUUUUUCGUUACAAAACCGGUUGAACACAUGUUAUGUGCAGAGUUCUAAAGGCGUAGCCUUGCUUCAGACUCUGAAGCCAGACACCAAUACCCGGAAUAUUACCUUAUUCUAUAGUUGCAAUCGCAGUCUAAUUGAUAUAAGUUUUUCCAGGAAUCAGCACUUCUAUGCUUUUAACUGCUCCAACAUUGAUUAUACCAAUGGUUCUGCUUAUUACUUUGUUCAACAAUCAGAUAUCAGCAAGAUGGCUAAGUUGGCCUUGUGUGGGAACAAUGUUACUUUUCUGGUAAAUAAGAGAGGGUUGGAUGAACUGAAACGCACAAAUUACUCAAGUUUGAGUGUCUUGACAGAAUGGCCCGUUACAAUGAACUACACGACACACUUCUCAGCCUGUUCUGAGUGUAAGAAGUCUGGUGGCAGAUGCGGGUCAUCUGGAGAUCUUGUUUCAUAUUCUUCUACGUUUCUAUGUUAUUGCCGUGAUGGACAGCAACCAUCUGUAUGUCAAAAUAACAGGAAUAAAAUGUCAGUAUUGUUAAUUCUGGUACCAGGCACUGGAGUUCUAGUUGGAGUUGUAGCUAUCAUAGUCUUCUGGCAACAUAAGAAGAGAAAAGUUGGUCAUCCAAAUUUAAUGACUGAGAAUGAUUCUUUCGACUGUAGUCCAUCAGAAGUUGAAGAGGGAAGCAUUUACCUUGACGUACCACUCUUCUCCUACAGUGAACUCAUUGAAGCCACCGACAAUUUUGAUCAAUCAAAAGUACUUGGCACUGGUGGCCACGGGAUAGUAUAUUAUGGCAGACUAACAGAUGGAAGGGAAGUAGCUGUAAAACGUCUGUGUGAGAAGAACUGUGAAAGGGUUCAACAGUUCAUGAACGAAGUUCAGAUACUUACUCGUAUGAAACACCCAAACCUUGUGACUCUUUACGGCUGCUCUUCCCGGCACUGCAGGGAACUACUCCUUGUGUACGAGUAUGUGAAAAACGGCACAGUAGCCGAUCACUUGUCUGGUAAAAAUGCAAAAUCAGGAUCUCUUCCAUGGCCAGUUCGCCUGAGGAUUGCAAUUGAAACUGCUGCUGCACUUUCUUACCUUCACGCUUCUGGCAUCAUACACCGUGAUGUCAAAACUAAUAACCUUCUCCUUGACUGCAACUUCAGUGUAAAAGUGGCUGAUUUUGGGCUUUCGAGACUCUUCCCCGACCUUGUAACUCAUGUUUCAACGGCUCCACAGGGAACUCCUGGUUACGUAGACCCAGAGUAUAGCCAGUGUUAUCAGCUGACAGACAAGAGUGAUGUUUACAGUUUUGGUGUUGUUCUCAUUGAGCUCAUUUCUUCUAUGCCAGCAGUUGACAUCAACAGGCAUAGGCAUGAGAUCAACUUAUCUAGCUAUGCAAUGAAACGGAUCCAACGGUGUGCAUUUGAUGAGUUGGUGGAACCCCAACUUGGGUUCGCAUCAGAUUUCAAGGUUAGGAGGAUGACUAUAUUGGUGGCAGAGCUUGCAUUCAGGUGUCUACAACAUGACAAGGACUUCAGGCCCUCAAUGGACGAGGUUUUGGAGGCUCUUAAGAGGAUUGAAUCCAUUGAUUAUGAAGAAUUAGAGGCCGAAGAGAUGGCCAAUUCUGAAACACUGCGAGCUGAAGAGACGUAUCAAAAUGCUCAGACGGAGGAUUGUGAAGUAUUGCAGACAAAAGAGACAGCUAAAUAUGCCGUGGUAGAGGGGGUGGAAACGCUUUUUAGUGAUUCUACUUACACACGAACUUCUGCGGAGGAUGAUCAUGCACUUCUGUUGCGUAAUUUUCGACAAUAUUCAUCUUCCCCAAGUUUAAUGGAAAAUUGGGUUAGUGGAUCCAGUACAUCUAGCAUAUGCAAAUAAGCGGGAUACAAGGCCAACUUCACAUCGGUAUCCUGGUGCCAGAUGCGGGUCAACUGAGGAUUCAUCUUCACUCUUCAGAUAAGUUUCGGUGUCAUCGCCGUGAUGGACCUCAGGCUCACGCUCAGUCAAGAAUUUUGUUGCUCGGACUUGAGCUAGGUAGGGAUGGAGCAAGGCCACAGCUCAAAGGGAGGGGUGGUGUGCGGGUAGGGUAAGGGCUGAUCCGGGCUCAAAAAAUUGGGCUCAAAUAGGCUGGGCCCUUUCAACCCGCUCCAACCCGACUUGACCUGUUUAUAGUUGAGAUGUCUUAUAAUUUAAUUACUUGUAUUUGUCAUUUAUAAACAGAGUAUUGAACUAUUGUAAAUCUUUAAUAAUGUAUCAUAAUACAAACAACAAAUGAU